GACCAGAUAGCUCAGGUGGUAAAGCGCAAGACUCUUUAAUUCUCUGAGUUGUGGGUUCAAGCCCCAUGUUAGUCA
Molecule: non-coding RNA, 75 nt
Organism: Podarcis lilfordi (Lilford's wall lizard)
Lineage: Eukaryota; Metazoa; Chordata; Lepidosauria; Squamata; Lacertidae
Source: the annotation of a GenBank genome assembly